This 72-nucleotide transfer RNA is filed under the name Camelus bactrianus (Bactrian camel). It matches the Rfam family "tRNA". Rfam says of the family: Transfer RNA (tRNA) molecules are approximately 80 nucleotides in length. Their secondary structure includes four short double-helical elements and three loops (D, anti-codon, and T loops). Lineage: Eukaryota; Metazoa; Chordata; Mammalia; Artiodactyla; Camelidae. RNAcentral also lists the same sequence under 2 other names. The record is from Rfam by way of RNAcentral.
GAGGGUACAGUUCAGUGGCAGAGUGUGUGCUUAGUAUACAAGAGGUCCUGGGUUCAAUCCCCAGUACCUCCA